CUUAGGAAUCCACGGUUGUAUACUUAGGUACUGCUCACUGGAGGGUUACUUCCUGGAUUCCAGCAGUUGAAGGGGAGAGUAUGGUGCCUGGAAUUGAGAAAACACAGAAAUUCAGAUGGAGGCCACGAAAGGGUAUGAGAUGGGACAUGGGCAUGUCUAUUGUAUCCCACCUAAAAGCUUCCUCAGUGUGGACGGGUCAUCAAAGGAGGUGCCUAUGGGAACCCUCUGACCUGCAGACGCUUUGCCGCUGAGCUAAAUCCCCAGCCCCUCUUGUUUAGAAUCUUCUCAGACCUGAAAGAUGAAGCUGUUCUCUUAUUUCCUGGUGCAUAUUCUAUGGCUCGUCCUACCGUAUUGUUGAUGGGAAGGGAACCAAGAGAUGGAGAGAAGGGGAGGAAAGAGAAUCAAGAUGUGCUCCAUCCACCCACAGCUCCUUAUGAUGAGUGCAACCAUUACGUACGGCAAACGUGCUAAUGACAAUUUUUAAUAAAAAAGUAAACCAAAAC
RNAcentral lists this long non-coding RNA (503 nucleotides) under Chinchilla lanigera (long-tailed chinchilla). Its description in RNAcentral is "lncRNA (ENSCLAG00000022416.1)". The record is from RNAcentral. Lineage: Eukaryota; Metazoa; Chordata; Mammalia; Rodentia; Chinchillidae.